This 110-nucleotide ribosomal RNA is filed under the name uncultured eukaryote. RNAcentral's name for it is "partial small subunit ribosomal RNA". The record is from RNAcentral.
GGUAUGAAGCUGGCUGAAAAAUACAAAGAAAAAUCAGAGAUAUGCAAUGCUAUCGGAUCACACCAUGAUGAGGUGGAGAUGAAUACUCUGAUUGCCCCGAUAGUACAGGU